AUGACACACAAAGCUGAUGCCCCUUUCUUGAAUACCCCAAUUGAACACUAUCAUGCUACGGUGACCAUCUUUGGGACAACCGUGGCUUCGGGGAUGAAUGCUAGGUCUGGGAAUGAUCUACUUUCUAUUGAUGUGGAGGAUGAGGAGAAUGGUGAGGUGAACACAUCACCAAAUGUUGCUGAGUCCUCUCACCCCAAAGAACCACCAAAAAAGAAGGCUGGGGUAGUGAAAGUUCUUGAAGAUCCACUAGUUACCACUCUCAAUUAUGGGUUCAAACUUGUGGCUGAUGCUCUUGUAAAGUCUGGGGAUGAUGAUGAUAUACCCGCUGAACUUUGGGAUGAGGUCUGCAAGUUGGGAGAAUUUGAUGAAGAGCACCUAGCCCACUAA
RNAcentral lists this ribosomal RNA (387 nucleotides) under Triticum aestivum (bread wheat). Its description in RNAcentral is "partial small subunit ribosomal RNA". The record is from RNAcentral. Lineage: Eukaryota; Viridiplantae; Streptophyta; Magnoliopsida; Poales; Poaceae.